AGAUGAUGGCGUCGGUUUGGAACUCCGAAUUUUUCCUCGGAAAAAGUUUUCCCUCAAAGCCAAAAUGGAUGAAAAAAUGUGUUGAGUUUUCGCAAUACUAUAGACAAUUCGAUCUUUUCGAAAGGUUAAUUUUCUCAUUUCCCAAAUAACCUGUUUUGGUUCCGUGGAGUGGGAAUUUUUAAUGUUAAAUGGGAAUUCGCAUAGUGUGCCAUCUCUUUGGGAACAGGAUUAAAAGUCGAAUUUAAAAAGGAUUGAGUGAGUUUUUAAUUUUUUUUAACUAUCAUCUCAGUAAAAAUACAGUUGAUAGUCAAAUUUAAAAAAUAUAAAUUCAGUGCGUG
This is a long non-coding RNA of Leptopilina heterotoma, 338 nucleotides long. RefSeq lists it as uncharacterized. The transcript is spliced from 3 exons. The record is from RefSeq and is a predicted model, not a curated record. Lineage: Eukaryota; Metazoa; Arthropoda; Insecta; Hymenoptera; Figitidae.